Molecule: ribosomal RNA, 566 nt
Filed under: uncultured archaeon
Lineage: Archaea
Description: bacterial SSU rRNA
Rfam family: Archaeal small subunit ribosomal RNA
Source: RNAcentral
CGCGAAUCGCCCUUCGGGGUGCCCAGGCGCGAAAACUUUACAACGUUGGCAACAGCGAUAAGGGGACCUCGAGUGCCAGGAUACAAUCUUGGCUGUCGUGAUGCCUAAAAAGCAUUGCAUAGCAAGGGCCGGGCAAGACCGGUGCCAGCCGCCGCGGUAACACCGGCGGCUCGAGUGGUAACCGCUAUUAUUGGGUCUAAAGGGUCUGUAGCCGGCCGGAUAAGUCUCUUGGGAAAUCCGACAGCUCAACUGUCGGGCCUUCAGGGGAUACUGUUCGGCUCGAGGCCGGGAGAGGUGAGAGGUACUUCAGGGGUAGGGGUGAAAUCUUGUAAUCCUUGAAGGACCACCAGUGGCGAAGGCGUCUCACCAGAACGGUCCUGACGGCAAGGGACGAAAGCUAGGGGCACGAACCGGAUUAGAUACCCGGGUAGUCCUAGCCGUAAACGAUACUCGCUAGGUGUCGGCCACGGUGCGACCGUGGUCGGUGCCGUAGGGAAGCCGUGAAGCGAGCCACCUGGGAACUACGGCCGCAAGGCUGAAACUUAAAGGAAUUGGCGGGGGAGCAC